UCCUCACGACGCCCGGCGAAGUAAAGGCACAGCAGAAACGUAUUUCCUAAACACUGCAUACAAAGAAUUCGUCACAGAAGAGGCUCAAUACAGAGGGUCAUGGGGAUCCCAGCAGUCACUGGGCGGCAGGCGGGGAGACACCCUGGGCAG
This is a long non-coding RNA of Lampris incognitus (smalleye Pacific opah), 150 nucleotides long. RefSeq lists it as uncharacterized. The transcript has 3 exons. The record is from RefSeq and is a predicted model, not a curated record. NCBI's taxonomy places the organism in Eukaryota, Metazoa, Chordata, Actinopteri, Lampriformes, Lampridae.